AUGGCAGCCUGCUUCCGUGGGUCGGCGUGGCAUGCUCUGACGGGGUUCGAUGGCGACAGCCUCUUCUGUGCUCUCGUCUCCGUCAAGCGUCGGCACCCUCGUACAUGUCAGCUGUACCGUCAAGCGGUAUGGAUGUACUCGCGAAUGAUGAGCGACUUGGCCAGGGUGCAGCCGUCGACGAUGAGCACGGAGACCUUGCAUCCAUGGAUGGGGUUCAGUAGUAGUCGGCCCCGACUGGGAGCAAGGGGCUGGAUAACGACGAACGAAACGGACGUCAAGAUCAAAGAGAGGAAGGCUACUGCCGAUGGAUUCGUUGGGAUGCCGGAGCCGAGGAGAGGCUCCCAGACGCUCACAGGAGAGGCGACGGCGGUAGAUGUAGUUCCUGAUGGGAUCGGCCUUGGCGUACGCCUCCUUGUGACCUCGUCCGCCUCCGCAGGAUUCACCCGUCCCCUUGUCUCUAUCUAA
Molecule: ribosomal RNA, 465 nt
Filed under: Triticum aestivum (bread wheat)
Lineage: Eukaryota; Viridiplantae; Streptophyta; Magnoliopsida; Poales; Poaceae
Description: partial small subunit ribosomal RNA
Source: RNAcentral